RNAcentral lists this long non-coding RNA (378 nucleotides) under Ananas comosus (pineapple). Its description in RNAcentral is "long non-coding RNA (ACOM_LNC041592)". The record is from RNAcentral. Lineage: Eukaryota; Viridiplantae; Streptophyta; Magnoliopsida; Poales; Bromeliaceae.
UAGUUAGCACCCUACCACAGAGACCAGAUAGCAGCACCCUGAGUCGGCUUCUUAGGGGUAAAGAAAAGAAAAGAAAAGAAUCGAUGUUGUAAUAUUAUGUUUAGAAAUCGAUUGUAUAUUUGGAAGUUGAGGAUCAAUGUAAUGAAAAAUGCGAUGUAAAAUGAUGAGAUGAAUGAUUGUAAUAACAUAGGAUGUGUUAUGUUGUUUGAUACCUUCCUUAUGCAAUCGUUGUUGAAAAUUGUUCCUGUUUGGAACCUCUUGUACUUGUAUUGAUUGCGACGCCUUGAACGUACAGGGGAGACUCUGUCCGCGUGCAGGGGAAACCCUGUCCGUUCGGCGGUCUGUUGGCGUGCCCGAAUCCGACCAAAGAGGCGGGCG